This is a long non-coding RNA of Betta splendens (Siamese fighting fish), 5334 nucleotides long. RefSeq lists it as uncharacterized. The record is from RefSeq and is a predicted model, not a curated record. The transcript has 3 exons. NCBI's taxonomy places the organism in Eukaryota, Metazoa, Chordata, Actinopteri, Anabantiformes, Osphronemidae.
UUUUUUCUCCUAACUCUAUUUCUGGCCCCGUUGCCUCGUGGUGACAGUAGAAGCCAGAUGGCGUCUCUGUCGCACUCAGAUGAAUGGGCAGCUCUGACGCUCAACCUAUAGCGUUUGUGUUUGUGGUCAAAGAUUAUUUAUGCAAAAUGAAUCCUUCCCUUCCUUGUUUGUGUAACAGUCCGGCUUUCGCUUCCUGUUCAACAGGUCGCGCCGACUGUGGCCCAGUAGCUGGUUUUCGUUAGCUUUAAUGGCCCUCGUGUUGUUUUCUUCCAGGCGCUUUUCGUUUCUGCUGCUUCUUGCUCUGUACUGAUGGGAAGUGGCCUGUGCCUGCGCUCUCUGCUCUGAAGCGCCUGCGUCCUCGCUGCUGUGGGUCUGUCAUCCUGUCAGGCUGAUGCCGCCUCGUGAUUUUGGUGGAAUCUGACAGGUGCCAAAUAUAAAUGUCGCCCUACAUGCGACGCAACCUUUAAUGCCUGUGCAAUAUUGAAGAAGAAGGUGCAGAGGAGACCUGCUGAUGUUUUGAAAGGACAAUGGCUGCGUUAACGCGCGUUCUGCCUCAGUAACAGAACACGGAUCUGGCAGUCGGCCGCCAUUUGCCGAAAGCGAGUCGUUCCAGUGGGAUUUACCAUCUUCAGUUCAUAAAUCUCUUCCAAAGCUCGGCAAGCUGUGCAACUUGCGUCAUCAGUGUUAACAGAUACUAAAUCAUGUUUAAUAGAAGCAGGUCAUUGCUGGUUUAUUUAUCAUAGAUUCAUUCCUUAAACAAAGUGAGGAGACGUUUGUUUUGGUCCCCAUUAAACGUACUGUACUGGUGCUGAGGUGUUAAAAUAAGAGGUUCUACAGGUUAUUACUUUAUAAUGGAGGCUUACAUGACGUUUUAUCAUUAAAUUAAACUUUUUAUCACUACUUUCUAUGAUAAUCUUGGUUUUAUUACAGUAAAAUCUGAGUAGUAAACGUUAAAGGGACCAAUGAUACCGUCUUUAUGCUUGUGCUUGUGUUUGUGAGUAAAAUAGAAUCAUCUCCUUCUUGUUUUCAUUUUUCUAUCAUGUUUGCUCUCAUCUUGUUUCAGAAUCUAAUUUCCCAGCCUGUCUUAGCGAACCGCAGUGCGACUCUUGCUGACAGACUAACGGGACGUCUGCUAGGACUCACUUUGUCCAGAUCAAAUCAAACGUCUGGCUUUUCAACCACCGUCAGUGAUCUCGUACUGUCUGUGUGCAGGUGGACGUCCGGUAGUUACAAGAACUAUUUUCCCAGUUGUGUCACUCUUGUGAAACAUUAUUUUUUAGUGUUGUUUAUUUUUUCAUUGGUAUUUUUUUAUAUUUUAGCGUUCAUAAAUUGCAGAAGAGGUAACCCUAUGAAGACAGCGCGGCUCGGAGCUAAAUGCCACAGAAAGCAGCGCGCCGCCGAGGCCGCCGGCCGUCACGUUUCUCCUCCACCCUCUCCUCCCGCGAGACUGGGCUCAACAAAUGCCAAAGAAAACUGUACAAAGAGAGUGAACCAGGAGCGUCCGACGGCUCCUGCAGGUCACGCUGGCUCUGUGUGUCUUUCUAUUUAUAGGGCCCCCCUUGUUCUCCUCCCUUCUACAAAGAAACGCGCGCGCUCGUCAUAUUCUCAGAGCGGCCGCGGUCGUUUCCUGAGGCCGCGCUCGCUUCUUCAGCCUCACUUGCUCUGUUUUAUACCCUGGACAUUGCAACAUUCCUCUCUGCAGCGUGCGUCUGUGGUGACUGCUCCACGUUUCAUUUAUGCUUUAACAGUAAAAUUGUUGCCUCAACCUCCUCCUUUCUGUGCAUCACGAAGCUCCACGCGCUAACUUAAUUAGCUCCUUCUUCAUUAGCACCUCAGCACAGGCUUAAGGAGGCUGACAACGAACCACCAGGGAGGCUUGUUAGACAAACAGCCCUCUGCUCUGCAUGUCAGGGGCAACGUCCUCUCAAUCAACCAUGCAGCUGUGGCGGAUACUGUACAGCGUGCGCCUGGAAUACGCAUGGAGGCACUGUUAAUAUGUAAGCUACGGCGUCAGAAUACUGAUGGAGUCAAACGUGCUCAGGUGAUGAAUCAGCGAGGGGUCGAAUGAAGACCCUCUGUUUUGGAUUAUUUCAAAGCGAAUGUGAUUCGUUCCUAAAUGACGGGAUUGGUUUGAGAAUUGGUUGAGGCGAGGCUCAUUUAGCUCGUGUGAGGUUUAGCAUUCAGCUCGACGGCUGAGCGAUUCCUUCAUUUAAAUAAGCACAACUCAUUAGUUGAGCAAUUAGGAGCUAAUUAAGGCGUCGCUGUUGAAAACACACUGAAAUAUGUGCCAGGGUAAUCUUAUUUGAUAACGUUACAUGCACGUCCUUGUAACAUAAAACAUUCCACAAUGGUUUUGACGGGCAAAUUAUUUUUUAUCAUUUUCUAUUAAAAUGAAAUGACCAAAGGUUGCUGAUGUGUUAGUUUCCUCUAGAAAACGUGGAUGAAUGGAGGAAACAGCUCUACGUUCACACAUCCGCUCCUCACUCGCUUCCUGGGAAAUGAAGCUGUGCUGAAUUUCAGAAGUACGCAGGACGACUGGAGCAGGCGGCUCCGCGCCGUGACUCACCCCCAAAGCAUCAAUUAAUGUAUCCUGACCUAUAAUCAGUCUGCUGGUGUAGCAGUGAGUCAGUGCUGGGACGCUGCUGGAAACCAGCCUAAGUCCAGACGAAUCAGGCCUGAGACCAUUAGCAGACACUGGCUGCACAAGGCUGUGCGUCAGAGAGACAUAAAAGGAAGAAACACUGAAGGAAAAUGAUCUUUAUUAUGGCUACAGGAUACUGAAUGUUGGAAAUAGACCUGCACAAGUCUCCUGUUUUUCCCUGCUUUGGAUAUUUUUCUUCCUGACUGAUUCGCAGCGCGGCUGAAGGUGUUUCCUGCGUGUUGAGACGUUACCUCUCUUGAACCGACAGACAGUCUGUUUUGCAGCCUCUGCUUAUGAGUAAACAGUCGGCUGCGGAAGGAGCUGCGUGAAAUCAGAUUAACCUGCGCGUCAGCCGGAGUCAGACUGAAGGUGUGAAGGUGAACAUCUGGGGGGUGUGGAGGGAAACAGACGCCGGUUCCUCCCGGGCGCCCGAGGCGGCGGCGGCUGAGGUGCGCUGUUGGAGGCCAGUGUCGGUGUGGACCAGAGCCGGACCCGUCCCUGUCUGUCCGUCCAGGGGAACCGGCAGGGCCCGUUUGCCUCACGGAACAAAAGCUGCUCGGGUCCUAUUUCCUCAACGGCGACCGCGGCGGAAAGCGAAGCGGGACGCGUGCGGAGGGUCCACUCGUGCCGCUGUGGGUGAGAGUGGGCGCAGAGUGACGCCGUUAGUCACUGAGUGGGAGCGCGUUGUGCAACCUGCCUCUGAUCGCUGCCCGGCGUAUUAUUCCUCCCACGCGUUCCCGUUCUAUUAAAGCGCUUUUGUGUGUGAAACGCAAACAUGUCACAGCCGUCGACUGCAUGUCUUCCCUCGCGCCGGCUCCGCUUUCAAAUGUCUGUGAGAGCGCGACGCCUCACGUGUUGAAAAGACGGCAGCAUAUUACUGGAUUAUCCCAUCUGAAAUGAAAUCUCUGGCUUCAUUUAUUUAUUUUAUUCUUUAUUGUUGAGGCUUGUUUGCUGUGGUGACUAUGCAAAUAUCAGCCUGUGCUUUCAUUCUAUGGAGCAUUGUCCUGUACGUGAUCCCACGACUGAGAGACAUGUUGCGGUGGAUCUGAUGGAUGAUACGUCCUGUGACGUUUAAGUCUGAAGUGAUUUUGUGUCUAAGCGAAGCCAGUGACGCGCUUUUACCCUCAGCGAUUUAACAAUGAGGUGAGAUGACAUCUGGACUCAGUGGCGUGAAGAGCGCCUGCAUUAGAGACCAUUCAUUCGUUCAUAUCAUAGAGAAACACCAGCUCUCACCCUGUCUCCUGACUUUCAAUCCAGACAGGUGUGUCUUUCCUGCCACAAACGUCCCCUGAGUCCGACUCAGACGUCGGUGCUUGACUUGCAGCCACUAACUGUUAUCAGUGACCCACAUAUUUCCUCUCUCAAGUUCCGACCCCGCUUGCGUCCUGCAAACUGUGUCUGUGCAGCGCUGACCCAGAAACCCGCCCCCAUCGGGUUCCAGUGGCUGCACGUAUCCGCCGCCACUGGCGGCCGCGGCGGUGAAAUCAGUCGCUCUAAGCGGCGGAUUUGGCCGCAUCCAUGUUAAACGUCUGCGUUCUUCCAUCAUCCUCCGAUCUGGCGUGUGUCGCCCUCUAUCGCGCUCGCGAUAUUAAUAUUUCGCAGCAGAAGAAGUCGUGCGUUAGCAUUAUGUAGAUCGUUCCUCCCACAGUAUCUGGCCUGCGCUCAUGUUGUCUUAUUAUUCUUCACAUGAGGGUCCUUUCGGACUCUGGGACAGAACCUCUCUAUGAGUCAUGCUCCGGCGUUGACAUGUAACUCCGUUGGGAUCCAGACAUUUUAACAAGCGCGUACGAGGCGUCGCCUCCACUCAUGCUCAGCUCGCGAGGGAGGAAACGCGCGGAUGACUUCCUCCGGAGGCCCUGCGUCUCGGGGCCGCGUGCGCUCCCCGCUCGCCGCUCUGACUCACAGGCUUCCACUUCUCCUCUGUCCGGCUCGCCGUCCCUCAUUUAGCCCCUGAGCACCGGCCGUGCCUGUGACCCCCGCUCAGAGUCAGAGCCCACGACAAGGACAGCUGGUUAUUAUCAAUCACACCAGCAGUCGCCUCAUUGUAACCAACUGCAGUCCAUGUAAAGUCUCCUUUAGGUUCACACGCACAUCUGGCCAGAGCUGUAAAGCGUUGGUGUGUUGGCUCUAAUGGCUUCAUGGAGAUGUGAGGUAAGAGGAGCCAUCACCGCCUGGUGCAGAGUGUUUCUGUAAGUGGAUGGAGCAGCGUUACGGCCUUUUCCAGAAAACCCGUUUCCACAAAGCGAACCUCUCCUCGUCCUCGUCUCCGCUGGGAAUUAAAAUGCCUCCGUUGGACGGCAACGUCCGCCGCCGAGGCUGACAGCGACCCGCUGGAGGGUCAAUUCGCCUCACUGGGGACCUGCUGUAGAUAAAUGAUAAAUAAAUGAUAAAUAAAUGCUUUUUUUUCCAAGGCAUUAUGUGCUUGUGUCUAUAUCCAGGAUCUAUACAGCAACUAGACUCAUAUACAGUCUAUAUGUGGCUGAGCUGAGUGUUUUCCCUGUGGAUCAGUCUCUGUUCGGGGCUCAGUCUAACUGACAGGUGAGCUGUGACAAGCAGUGGGAAACAGCCUGCUGGCCAUUCGUGUACUAGCAAGUCACAUCUGUUUGAGUGUAACGGUCACGCACGUCGAGUCGAAGCGAGGUCUCCCUCGCAGCCGCGCGUUGUCUGCGGACUGAACGUCAUCGAUGAAAACA